RNAcentral lists this ribosomal RNA (210 nucleotides) under uncultured Scutellospora. RNAcentral's name for it is "partial 18S ribosomal RNA". It matches the Rfam family "Eukaryotic small subunit ribosomal RNA", at positions 569 to 779 of the family's 1831-position model. The record is from RNAcentral. Lineage: Eukaryota; Fungi; Glomeromycota; Glomeromycetes; Diversisporales; Gigasporaceae.
AGCAGCCGCGGUAAUUCCAGCUCCAAUAGCGUAUAUUAAAGUUGUUGCAGUUAAAAAAGCUCGUAGUUGAAUUUCGGAGUUCUACCGUCGGUCGGGCUACCAAGUCUGUACUGGUGUGUAGAAUUCCUACCUUCUGGGGAACUAUCAUGUUAUUAAUUUAGCGUGGUGGGAAACCAGGACCUUUACCUUGAAAAAAUUAGAGUGUUCAAA